CACAUACCGGAGUUAUCCAAAUAUCUCACACCUGCCUCUUGGAACAGACACCUUUAUACAUCAGUAAUGCUUGUAAGCACAGGAGUAAAACAGAAGGGUUUUUUUCUCAAAGAAGGUUCAGAAAAGCAGGCCUUCUUUUGAAAAGUCUUGAAUGAGCCCAUAGAAUAUGGUCAACAUAUCUGGUCUGGCACUAAUAAAAAUGAUAUUUAAUAAUGAUAUGAUAAAAUGAUAUUUAAUAAUGACUUAAACUGGGAAUAUUUUCAAUGACAUUUAACAACAACAACAUUCCUCAUGUUACAAAAUGUUAUGCCAAUAAUGUUAGACUACUGAAUUCUAAAUUCCAUGAAUACUACUUACUCUAAAAAGCUAAUAUUUCUCCAGGUAACCAGGGCUUUGGUUCAGCUGUACAUGUUCCUGAACCAGCUUCGCAACGUGGACUGGAGCAAGAGUUUCAGAGUGAUCCGCAACUCCCCCUUGCACUGCAGUAGCCUGGUUUCCCACAAUUCUCGUCACCUGUCCGCUUCUCAUCUGCCUAAUCAAUCCAGCUGUAUAGCGGUCAAUCUCCACUAGCACUCUGGCAGAUCCUCCAGUUUGCUUUUGCCCUAGCUAUCCAGCCAUUUUAUUAACUGCCUGCCUAGCCUGUCUGUUUGUACAUCUGCCUGAUCUUUGGACCUUGUAUUCCCUGCCUGCUCUUUGCAGGAUAAGUUUACCUGUUCUGCCUGAUUUACUGGGUUUUGACCAUGGACUUCAGUAAACUGAACUUUGAUUUUA
Micropterus salmoides (largemouth bass) is the source of this 771-nucleotide long non-coding RNA. RefSeq lists it as uncharacterized. Lineage: Eukaryota; Metazoa; Chordata; Actinopteri; Centrarchiformes; Centrarchidae. The transcript is spliced from 2 exons. The record is from RefSeq and is a predicted model, not a curated record.